AGCAGCCGCGGUAAUUCCAGCUCCAAUAGCGUAUAUUAAAGUUGUUGCAGUUAAAAAGCUCGUAGUUGAAUUUCGGGAUCAAUACGUCGGUCGUGCUUCGGUACGUACUGGUGUCAUUGAUUUCUCCCUUCUGACGAACCAUGAUGUCAUUAACUUGGUGUCAUGGGAAAUCAGGACUGUUACUUUGAAAAAAUUAGAGUGUUUAAAGCAGGCUCACGCUUGAAUACAUUAGCAUGGAAUAAUGAAAUAGGACGUUCGAUCCUAUUUUGUUGGUUUCUAGGAUCAACGUAAUGAUUAAUAGGGAUAGUUGGGGGCAUUAGUAUUCAAUUGUCAGAGGUGAAAUUCUUGGAUUUAUUGAAGACUAACUACUGCGAAAGCAUUUGCCAAGGAUGUUUUCAUUAAUCAAGAACGAAAGUUAGGGGAUCGAAGACGAUCAGAUACCGUCGUAGUCUUAACCAUAAACUAUGCCGACUAGGGAUCGGAUGAUGUUAAUUAUUUAAUGACUCAUUCGGCGCCUUACG
Molecule: ribosomal RNA, 521 nt
Filed under: uncultured Glomus
Lineage: Eukaryota; Fungi; Glomeromycota; Glomeromycetes; Glomerales; Glomeraceae
Also listed under: 1 other name
Description: SSU rRNA
Rfam family: Eukaryotic small subunit ribosomal RNA
Source: RNAcentral